UGGAUAAGGCAUGCAAGUCAAACGGCCGCAAGGCAGUGGCGAACGAGGUAGUAACACGUGGGUACAUCCCUUUUAGUCAGGAAUAACCAGUCGAAAGAUUGGAUAAUACUUGAUAGUCUCUUCGGAGUAAAGAUUUGUCGCUAAAAGAAUGGCCUGCGGAGUAUCAGCUAGUUGGUAGUGUAAUGGACUACCAAGGCUAUGACGCUUAGGGGAGGUGAGAGCCUGGCCCCCACCGAUGGUACUGAGACACGGACCAUACACCUACGGGUGGCUGCAGCCGAGAAUAUUCGACAAUGGACGAAAGUCUGAUCGAGCGACACCGCGUGAUGGAUGAAGACCUUAGGGUCGUAAACAUC
This 356-nucleotide ribosomal RNA is filed under the name uncultured organism. Its description in RNAcentral is "bacterial SSU rRNA". It matches the Rfam family "Bacterial small subunit ribosomal RNA", at positions 45 to 433 of the family's 1533-position model. The record is from RNAcentral.